This 23-nucleotide small nuclear RNA is filed under the name Arabidopsis thaliana (thale cress). RNAcentral describes it as "snRNA_10586". Lineage: Eukaryota; Viridiplantae; Streptophyta; Magnoliopsida; Brassicales; Brassicaceae. The record is from RNAcentral.
CAUCGUCCCUUUGUUGGAAAUAU